RNAcentral lists this small nucleolar RNA (138 nucleotides) under Ornithorhynchus anatinus (platypus). Lineage: Eukaryota; Metazoa; Chordata; Mammalia; Monotremata; Ornithorhynchidae. The record is from RNAcentral.
CCCCUCUCAGGGUCGCACCUGGAGAGUUUCCAGCACUCUACAGGUCUUGACUACAGGAGGGAGAGUCAAGCAGAGGCCUAUCCAUUCCAUUCCUAGAUUGGGCAGUGGCUAGCGAGUGGAAGGCAAUCUGUUACAGGC